GUGGCCAUGGUGUAGUGGUAACACAGAGGCUUGUGGAGCCUUUAUCUCGGGUUCGAGUCCCGAUGGCCACCCCA
This is a transfer RNA of 74 nucleotides. It matches the Rfam family "tRNA". From Rfam's summary of the family: Transfer RNA (tRNA) molecules are approximately 80 nucleotides in length. Their secondary structure includes four short double-helical elements and three loops (D, anti-codon, and T loops).